Molecule: small nucleolar RNA, 213 nt
Organism: Neogobius melanostomus (round goby)
Lineage: Eukaryota; Metazoa; Chordata; Actinopteri; Gobiiformes; Gobiidae
Source: Ensembl
AAGACUAUACUUUCAGGGAUCAUUUCUAUAGUUUGUGAUUUGAGACAUGUGUUUCUAAAGAGUAUGGUCUCGCUGCCCACGAUGAAGAGUUGGUGGUACUCCUUCUUGAACAUGAAGAAAGUAGAGACUUGGUUCGUCAUUGUUCUCUACUACUGAUGACUGUUCACUGUUUCUUUUAGAGACAGUGAGUGAAAGAGUACGAUCGGAGUGGUC